Molecule: long non-coding RNA, 3393 nt
Organism: Cyprinus carpio carpio
Lineage: Eukaryota; Metazoa; Chordata; Actinopteri; Cypriniformes; Cyprinidae
Source: Ensembl
CAACAAUGUUGCAUAUAAUUAAGACCUGCCUUUGUUAGAAUCUAUGGAUUGGUCAUUUGUGCUACAAAAAGAGUAACAGUGUUAUCAUCUUCAACUGUUGCUAGGAGCACACAAUUCAUGUAUUCAGUUGUCAUGGUGAUAUUAAUGUUUUUUUUUUUUUUUUUUUCUGCUGCAGCUCAUUGAUUUGUUGUUAUAAAGAGUAUUUUUGUGGCUUUUGUGUUAAACGGCAGUAAUUACAAUGGCAAGACCCUCAGGAACAGAACGAAUCGGACUGCCUGAAGAGGACAAUCAGGAUUUUCUCACCGUGGUGUGAGUGUUGAAGAGCUCCCAGAUGUGAUAAUAACAAAAGCAACUGAUGCACACAGCAAUGAGUUUACAAGACGUCUUGCUCAUAAAUGCACAUGCCGAUCUGUCCUCUCACUUGGCAGAUGCUGAAGCGUCAAGGGGGGUGAUUAUCCAUUCCAGAUGAACACACACAUACACUCGCAUGUGGCGACACAGAUGCCCUACAACGAGCAGGCAUUGUCACCACGAUCUGCCAGCCACCUUUGGCUCAGAGGAUGCCAGAAGAGCAAAUGUUAUGGUGUUUCAUGCCACUCCAGUUCCACAGGGGACAUUAAUCAUGGGGCACCCAAGGUGGACAGGAAGUGUGACUUUGCAAAAGGUGGGCGGAGGACAGAAUCGAGGCUUUUACUGCAAAGUUCAGCUCUCCAUGGAAAACCAGUGAGAGAACCACCACUCCUCAGAUGCUCAGAUCCAUUUAAAUGCCUGAGACCGAAAAUAGCAGACAUGGAGAGUAAUUAGGCUUUCAUCCGUCUUACAUAUUACAUAUUACAGUUUAUAUAUAUAUAUAUAUAUAUAUAUAUAUAUAUAUAUAUAUAUAUAUAUAUAUAUAUAUAUAUAUAUAUAUAUAUAUAUAUAUAUAGUACAUUUAUGCUAUAGGAUUGCUAAGAUGAAAUCCUCAUUAUAUAUAUAUAUAUAUAUAAAAUAAAAAAAAACAACAGAAAAAAACAAAAACAAAAAUGUAAAUAAUAAAAAGCCGAGAAAGGAACCAAUAGGUCUCGAGUCUUAAACACUGCCUUCACCCCUCAACACAAUGUCAACAGCUUCCUGAAUGUUAAUUAUACAUUGCAUUGUGACUCUUGUGGGGUGUAUGUGUGUGUGUGUGUGUGUGUGGGGGGGGGGGGUCACACCUGUCUAUGUGUGGUUUAGCAUCGCUAAUGCAGCGAUAAUUAGGAAUGUAAUCUGCAUGAAAUCAGCCACUGAAUUAAAAAUGCUUCUAUCGUCUUCCUACUGCAGUUAAGAAUGCUGUUAAGUGAAUGUUUGGCAUUGAUGUGUCGAGGGAGGUCGACAAGUCAUGAGCUUUGUCAUGCCGCUUGUGUGAUGUGUGCUUUGCCAUCCCUCUUUCUUCUGUCUUUUAUUCCCUCCCUUUACUCAUCUUUUACAUCAUUCUUCCUGUCAUUGUUACUGUAGAUUGCGUGAUGGGUCGUAAUGUCAUAAACAAAUAAGUAUAGAUAAAUGAGUGAAUCAAAUUAUUCAUAAAAAAAAAAAAAACAUGAAUUCAUUUGGAAACCAAAUCAUCAAAUUAUUUACUCAAACAAUUUGUUUAAAAACAAUGAAUAAUUCAGGAAUGAAACAUGGGACUAGUUAAAUUCAGUACCACAUUCUAAUGUACUAUUCUUAAUAUUUAUUCCCUACUAUGGCAGAAAUAGUCAGAGUAGCAUGCUAGUAUGCAGUUCCAAAUUCAGCAAUUGUCUUUAUGAGUGAGUUACUGAAUCAUUCUCUCCACUAUUUCCACUAUUUCCAUUCUCUCAAACCAUUCAGUAUGAACACGUGACUGUGCUUAUGAAUGAGUUGUUCAAUUUAUGGAUUCAAAAACAUAAAUUCAGAAACUAAACAAGUGACUAUUUAUGAAUCAUUGUUAUUGAAUAAUUUAUUCAAUCAAUUCAUUCAAAAACAUUUAUUCAUGAUAAUAAUAAAUAAAUAAAUAAACAAACAAACAAACAAACCAAGGGGCAAGUCACUGAAUCAUUGCCUCAAACAUUUUGUUAAAACACACUUGUUCAGCAACAGAACAAGCAACUCUUCAUCAGUGAGUCACUGAAAAACUAAAAUAUAAAGGCUGAUUUAUAUGGUUUCUUAAGACUUUAAAUAUUAUCAUAAGAACUAUUUUUAUGGAGUUUUAUACAGUAGUUCUGUUUUUUUUCCUUUAUGAAACUUGAUAGGCCCUGGUCAUUGUAUGCUUAAUUCCAAACUUCUCCAUUACUGUUACAAAGAAAGUCAGUCAUUCAUUUGGAACAAUGUGAGGGUGAGUAAAUGGGACAGAAUUUUCAUUGUGAGUAAUUUGUUCCUUUAAUAUUCUGUUGCUCUGUGUGGGAUCCUCUCUGUGGGAAAAGUAGCAAAGAGAAAUCUAUUCAAAGACGCCUGUAUGAGUGGCUUUCAGCGUCUCUCUGGAAUGGAUGUGAAUCCCUGAGAUGCAUUGUUGCCACUCUGUCAAAACAAAUUUAAUAACAAAUUCUCCCACUCUUUCUUUCAACAUCUCAUUCCAUCUUUCUUUCUCAAUAAUAAUUGGGGUGAGGAUUGGGGGUGAGCUUUUGGGAGACAAGAGUAUUUGUAAUCAGCAUCGUCUCUUCUGAUUUGAAUUCAUGUUGUUGGAAACAGCUGCAGCAGGAUGGGUGGAGAUGUUACUCCCUUCUUCUUUCUCUCUCUAUUAUAUUCUAGCUUUUCUCCUCAGAGGAGCACUGAUAUUUCCACCUGGCUGCAUGCAGAAGACGCGCCUUACAUCCGAAGAAUCAGGCAUGAAACACUCGCUGCUUUCACCAAACCCUGUGCGGCAGAGCAAAGGAUUGUGGGAUACAUUGCACGACAGGAAGACAGGAAUAAAGACAGAAGGUAGUGAUUAUGAGCUAGACGGAUGAGAGAGAGCGAGAGAGAGAGAGAGAGAGAGAGAGAGAGAGAGAGGAGAGAAUGUGAAAAUCACAGCAGACAGUGUCUUCAUUUAGCCUUUUGUCUAAAUGCCAGUUAUUCCCAUUGCUGAACCUUGGAUCGGUCUACUGAGAAUCAUUCAGUCUAUUCCUGUCUAAUACCAAUUCAUCUCUCUCUUCCUCAAAGAGACAUGUUUAGACUGCAUUACCGUAAGCAUGUGCAUCUUUAAAUGUCACUGCCUAUUGAUGGCGGCUCUGGAGCUCUGUCCACGAAAAACAGAAUUAACUUGCUUCACUCGUAUCUACUAUACACUUUGAGAGCAUUAUUAUUAUUAAAAUUUUGUCACUCUCUCUGAAAAACACUUUCCUGUCACAUUCAUGAAUACAGUGCACCAUAUAUACAUUAUUUAUAUACUAUUAUAGUUUUAGCAUUUUCUAGUUUUAGCUUUUUUCUAAUAUUUAUAUUCUA